AUUCCGCUCGUUUGACUCUAG
RNAcentral lists this microRNA (21 nucleotides) under Asparagus officinalis (garden asparagus). RNAcentral's name for it is "aof-miR12163". The record is from miRBase by way of RNAcentral. Lineage: Eukaryota; Viridiplantae; Streptophyta; Magnoliopsida; Asparagales; Asparagaceae.